Molecule: ribosomal RNA, 426 nt
Filed under: uncultured bacterium
Lineage: Bacteria
Description: bacterial SSU rRNA
Rfam family: Bacterial small subunit ribosomal RNA
Source: RNAcentral
GUGAGGAAUUUUCCGCAAUGGGCGAAAGCCUGACGGAGCAAUGACGCGUGAAGGAUGAAGGCCUAUGGGUUGUAAACUUCUUUUCUCAGAAAAGAAUUAUGACGGUAUCUGAGGAAUAAGCAUCGGCUAACUCUGUGCCAGCAGCCGCGGUAAGACAGAGGAUGCAAGCGUUAUCCGGAAUGAUUGGGCGUAAAGCGUCUGUAGGUUGUUUAAAAAGUAUUCUGUCAAAGAUUAGGGCUUAACCCUAGAUAGGCAGAAUAAACUUUUAAGCUAGAGUUUGGUAGAGGCAGAGGGAAUUCCCGGUGGAGCGGUGAAAUGCGUAGAUAUCGGGAGGAACACCAAAGGCGAAGGCACUCUGCUGGGCCAAUACUAACACUGAGAGACGAAAGCGAGGGGAGCAAAUGGGAUUAGAAACCCGUGUAGUCC